Molecule: long non-coding RNA, 421 nt
Organism: Zea mays
Lineage: Eukaryota; Viridiplantae; Streptophyta; Magnoliopsida; Poales; Poaceae
Exons: 2
Source: RefSeq, a predicted model, not a curated record
GACCCAUCUGGGCUGGGACACGCAACGACAAUUUACUCGUCGGUCCAGGGACCCCCCGGGUCGAAACGCCGACAAGUGUGCAAGUAGGUAGUACUGAAAUAGGUGCAAUAUGAAGGUAUGUGUUCAGGAAUCUAAGCUUUUUGAAGGAGACCAAUUGAGACCAUAACUGUUUUUUCUUUCAUCUGACCUGUGCUUGUUGUGUGAUCCUGCAGAAGUAAAAAUGGAGCUUUUGUUGUUAUGUAAUUAUUUUAUUUAUUGCAGGGAGGCAUAGUCAAUUUGCUUGGACCAUUUGUAACAUUGGACACCAUUGACAUGUAGAACAAUGUAUAAGGAAAACAAAAUGCACGUGAUGUCAAAACGAACAGUUAUUUGAAACAACUUUUUUUUCAAAUCAUGUAACUGGCAUCCUUAGAUUGCACAA